GGACAGAAGAGUAGAAAAAAAGAGAGUCUUGGCUACCCUGAAAGAAGGAUUCUGGCUGUAGGGUAAUUAACGGAUUUUGAUUCUUUUGUUUUGUUGUUUCGGGACUGUGCUAUAAGUUUUCUGUUUAUUUUUUUUCUGGAUUAUCUUAUUGUUUAUGUACUGCUCCAACUUUUUUGUGACUGCUUUUCAUGCCCUGUCAUAUUGGGCUUUUUUUUUUUAAAGCUACCGACACUGCGAAACUCAUUGGGAUUGUAGAAAGGUUUUUUUGAGCUGUAUACAUCUUUUUAUUUUUUUUGGUUGUGCUUGUGUUUGGCCGGGCUACAUUGCAGGGGCUGUCCAGGUUUGAGCAGACGGUGCCAGGAGUCCUGUGACCUGUGAAGAGAGAGAAGGGAAGUGGCGUUCAUUAUUAUUCGUUUAUUCUUUUGAGACUUUGAUAUAUUACAAACUGUACAUCCAUAACUUAUUUACCCACCCUGAGUUGGCUCUGUGUUCUGUCAGGGUACGCCUGAAGCCCACCAGGGUGAUACUUACUGGUUCCAUGUCAGAGAUUGAGGUCCAUGGGUCCAUUCCAGGGGGUCGAAGUCCAGUGGUCCAGUCCAGGGUGCAACAGUCGGGUUCCAGAACCGGAGAGAGAGAGGGAAAUACGCGAGAGUCAGAGGAUCUCCAUCUUUAUCUUCUUCAGUGGGUCGGCGUAUCGUUGCAGUGAGGUCCAUUGGCGGUUCGAUACGUGGGACAGUGGACAUCGGGACGAGUGGGCAGCUGAGCGGUUUGGGAACCAACUUUAAUCAGAUUUCCAAUACUUUUACUGGACUUUUUGUGUGGCAGCUAAGCACGAACAUUAUUUUUAUAUAUAUUUUUUUAGAGACUUUUACCAACAGGAGGGGAUUACCUCAGUUUGUAUUUUUUUGGGUUCUCCCUCAUUUUUAACUGAGUUUGUGUGUGUGGUUUUUAAAGAGCAUUUUUACCCUGUUGAGAAACAAUAAAAUUUGUUUUAACCUAC
Molecule: long non-coding RNA, 1000 nt
Organism: Acipenser ruthenus (sterlet)
Lineage: Eukaryota; Metazoa; Chordata; Actinopteri; Acipenseriformes; Acipenseridae
Exons: 2
Source: RefSeq, a predicted model, not a curated record